UGCGGAGGAUGCAAGCGUUAUCCGGAAUGAUUGGGCGUAAAGCGUCCGCAGGUGGCUAUGUAAGUCUGCUGUUAAAGAGUGAGGCUCAACCUCAUAAAAGCAGUGGAAACUACAUGGCUAGAGUGCGUUCGGGGCAGAGGGAAUUCCUGGUGUAGCGGUGAAAUGCGCAGAUAUCAGGAGGAACACCGAUGGCGAAGGCAGCUCACUAGGACGGUACUGACGCUGAGACGCGAAAGCGUGGGGAGCGAACAGG
This 253-nucleotide ribosomal RNA is filed under the name uncultured bacterium. RNAcentral's name for it is "partial 16S ribosomal RNA". It matches the Rfam family "Bacterial small subunit ribosomal RNA", at positions 524 to 776 of the family's 1533-position model. The record is from RNAcentral.